Molecule: ribosomal RNA, 305 nt
Filed under: uncultured bacterium
Lineage: Bacteria
Description: bacterial SSU rRNA
Rfam family: Bacterial small subunit ribosomal RNA
Source: RNAcentral
GUUCCUACGGGACGCAGCAGUGAGGAAUAUUGGUCAAUGGGCGGGAGCCUGAACCAGCCAAGUCGCGUGAGGGAAGACGGUCCUAUGGAUUGUAAACCUCUUUAGGCGGGGAGCAAUGCCGGGCACGUGUGCCCGGAGGGAGAGUACCCGCAGAAUAAGCAUCGGCUAACUCCGUGCCAGCAGCCGCGGUAAUACGGAGGAUGCGAGCGUUAUCCGGAUUUAUUGGGUUUAAAGGGUGCGCAGGCGGACCAUCAAGUCAGCGGUAAAUCGUGGGGCCCAACCCCAUCCCGCCGUUGAAACUGGCG